AGCAGUGAUCUGAAGAUCAAAGUGUUCUGGGCUUAAAGAGCGACUGCCCCUAAAAAACAACGAAUCCCUUUGAAAAUGGCCUAUGAGGCGUCCUUGUGAGUCAGAAUCAUUUAUUCUAGUGUCAAAAUUGAUUACAAAGUGUAAUAGCAUAAUUUUGGUCAUAAAGUCAGUCUCGCCUAAAAUGGAGUUUGGAACCUCAGUGUGUCACAACAAAUAAAUUAAGGUUGAGUUUGGAUUACAAUUAUGUCAACAAAUCAUGCUACCCUUUUCCAAGCUCCACAAGCAAAUCGCCCAUCAGCCUCCCUUUAUUGAAUGGGGCUCCCGUUGUUUCAUCGCCGCCAACCAACACGUUCAAAGGAUCACGGCCAUUCGAUUGACCAUGCAAUCAAUGCAUUCUUCCAGAAGGCUGCACAGCCAAAAGACGAUGGUUUGCAUGCCCUGCCGAAGGACCCUAUCAUGCGCAAUAGGUGGUUGGAUUUCAUUGCUCUCCAGUGGUGACAAAGUGCACAGUUGGUCAUGAACGGAUGCCAGGACCAACAAGAAAGAGCAAAGGCCAUACCAGUCAACACCACCUCAACACCACCUCAUAAGACUGCCUGCUGCACUUGUUCGAGAGAUGUCCAGUUUGCAGCCGGACAUGGGGGCCCUCAUCAGCAUAAUUCAGACAUGCCCCUCGCUUAUCUUUGAAGAGGGGGCAGGAGCUAAUCUACGCUGCCAUGUAUAUCAAUGGGGCUCUGGCAAUGACCUUACCUCUUGCCUGCCCACCAAUGGUCGUCGAUGGGGAGAACACAAUUAGAAACAUGUAUGGAGCCAGCACAUGGAGACUUGCAAAAUGAUGUGAUGAAGUCCAGACCGACAGACGCACUUGAUACUAAUGUCUCUGAUUGUUGACAGACCUGGCACUCAUCAUAAAAUGUUUACUAGACACAA
Oncorhynchus kisutch (coho salmon) is the source of this 930-nucleotide long non-coding RNA. RefSeq lists it as uncharacterized. The transcript has 5 exons. NCBI's taxonomy places the organism in Eukaryota, Metazoa, Chordata, Actinopteri, Salmoniformes, Salmonidae. The record is from RefSeq and is a predicted model, not a curated record.